UAAAAGGAACGAUCGUUGUGAUAUGCGUUGUUCCCUAACAUAUCACAGUGAUUUUCCUUUAUAA
This is a non-coding RNA of Drosophila erecta, 64 nucleotides long. NCBI's taxonomy places the organism in Eukaryota, Metazoa, Arthropoda, Insecta, Diptera, Drosophilidae. The record is from Rfam.